Molecule: ribosomal RNA, 301 nt
Filed under: uncultured bacterium
Lineage: Bacteria
Description: partial 16S ribosomal RNA
Rfam family: Bacterial small subunit ribosomal RNA
Source: RNAcentral
CAGUAGCCGCGGUAAUACGUAGGGUGCAAGCGUUAAUCGGAAUUACUGGGCGUAAAGCGUGCGCAGGCGGUUUUGUAAGACAGAGGUGAAAUCCCCGGGCUCAACCUGGGAACUGCCUUUGUGACUGCAAGGCUAGAGUACGGCAGAUGGGGAUGGAAUUCCGCGUGUAGCAGUGAAAUGCGUAGAUAUGCGGAUGAACACCGAUGGCGAAGGCAAUCCCCUGGGCCUGUACUGACGCUCAUGCACGAAAGCGUGGGGAGCAAACAGGAUUAGAUACCCGCGUAGUCCCUGUCUCUUAUAC